AAUGAACGCUGGCGGCAUGCCUAACACAUGCAAGUCGAACGAGACCUUCGGGUCUAGUGGCGCACGGGUGCGUAACGCGUGGGAACCUGCCCUUAGGUUCGGAAUAACUCCCCGAAAGGGGUGCUAAUACCGGAUAAUGUCUUCGGACCAAAGAUUUAUCGCCUUUGGAUGGGCCCGCGUUGGAUUAGCUAGUUGGUAGGGUAAAAGCCUACCAAGGCGACGAUCCAUAGCUGGCCUGAGAGGAUGAUCAGCCACACUGGGACUGAGACACGGCCCAGACUCCUACGGGAGGCAGCAGUGGGGAAUAUUGGACAAUGGGCGAAAGCCUGAUCCAGCAAUGCCGCGUGAGUGAUGAAGGCCUUAGGGUUGUAAAGCUCUUUUACCCGGGAUGAUAAUGACAGUACCGGGAGAAUAAGCUCCGGCUAACUCCGUG
RNAcentral lists this ribosomal RNA (433 nucleotides) under uncultured bacterium. RNAcentral's name for it is "partial 16S ribosomal RNA". It matches the Rfam family "Bacterial small subunit ribosomal RNA", at positions 29 to 507 of the family's 1533-position model. The record is from RNAcentral.